GAGAAGAACGUAGCGAAAUGCGAUAAGUAAUGUGAAUUGCAGAAUUCAGUGAAUCAUCGAAUCUUUGAACGCACAUUGCGCCCGCUAGUAUUCUGGCGGGCAUGCCUGUUCGAGCGUCAUUUCAACCAUCAAGCUCCUUAGCUUGUGUUGGGGACCUGCGGCUGCCGCAGCCCCCGAAAUGCAGUGGCGGGCUCGUUGUCACACCGAGUGCAGUAAUCAUUCUUCUCUCCGGGCGUGGCGGCGGGUUCCGGCCGUAAAAUCACCAAUUUAUCAAGGUUGACCUCGGAUCAGGUAGGAAUACCCGCUGAACUUAAGCAUAUCAAUAAGCGGAGGA
This 334-nucleotide unclassified non-coding RNA is filed under the name soil metagenome. RNAcentral's name for it is "partial contains 5.8S ribosomal RNA, internal transcribed spacer 2, and large subunit ribosomal RNA". The stretch from base 3 to 119 matches the Rfam family "5.8S ribosomal RNA", at positions 38 to 154 of the family's 154-position model. The record is from RNAcentral.